This 250-nucleotide ribosomal RNA is filed under the name uncultured bacterium. Its description in RNAcentral is "partial 16S ribosomal RNA". It matches the Rfam family "Bacterial small subunit ribosomal RNA", at positions 524 to 773 of the family's 1533-position model. The record is from RNAcentral.
UACGGAGGGUGCGAGCGUUAAUCGGAAUUACUGGGCGUAAAGCGUGCGUAGGCGGAUUAUUAAGCAAGAUGUGAAAGCCCUGGGCUCAACCUGGGAACUGCAUUUUGAACUGGUAGUCUAGAGUAUUGUAGAGGGUGGUGGAAUUUCCAGUGUAGCGGUGAAAUGCGUAGAGAUUGGAAGGAACAUCAGUGGCGAAGGCGGCCACCUGGACAAAUACUGACGCUGAGGCACGAAAGCGUGGGGAGCGAAC